RNAcentral lists this ribosomal RNA (500 nucleotides) under uncultured bacterium. RNAcentral's name for it is "partial 16S ribosomal RNA". It matches the Rfam family "Bacterial small subunit ribosomal RNA", at positions 30 to 523 of the family's 1533-position model. The record is from RNAcentral.
AUUGAACGCUGGCGGCAUGCUUUACACAUGCUAGUCGAACGGUAACAGGGUGCUUGCACCGCUGACGAGUGGCGAACGGGUGAGUAAUGCGUCGGAACGUGCCGAGUAGUGGGGGAUAACGCAGCGAAAGUUGUGCUAAUACCGCAUACGUACUGAGGUAGAAAGUGGGGGACCUUCGGGCCUCACGCUAUUCGAGCGGCCGACGUCUGAUUAGCUAGUAGGUGAGGUAAAGGCUCACCUAGGCGACGAUCAGUAGCGGGUCUGAGAGGAUGGUCCGCCACACUUGGACUGAGACACGGCCCAGACUCCUACGGGAGGCAGCAGUGGGGAAUUUGGGACAAUGGGCGAAAGCCUGAUCCAGCCAUGCCGCGUGUCUGAAGAAGGCCUUCGGGUUGUAAAGGACUUUUGUCAGGGAGGAAAUCCCUAGUGCUAAUAACACUGGGGGAUGACAGUACCUGAAGAAUAAGCACCGGCUAACUACGUGCCAGCCGCCGCCGUAA